GAUGAAGGUCUUAGGAUUGUAAAAUUCUUUCACCGGGGACGAUAAUGACGGUACCCGGAGAAGAAGCCCCGGCUAACUUCGUGCCAGCAGCCGCGGUAAUACGAAGGGGGCUAGCGUUGCUCGGAAUUACUGGGCGUAAAGGGAGCGUAGGCGGAUAGUUUAGUCAGAGGUGAAAGCCCAGGGCUCAACCUUGGAAUUGCCUUUGAUACUGGCUAUCUUGAGUAUGGAAGAGGUAUGUGGAACUCCGAGUGUAGAGGUGAAAUUCGUAGAUAUUCGGAAGAACACCAGUGGCGAAGGCGACAUACUGGUCCAUUACUGACGCUGAGGCUCGAAAGCGUGGGGAGCAAACAGGAUUAGAUACCCUGGUAGUCC
Molecule: ribosomal RNA, 372 nt
Filed under: uncultured bacterium
Lineage: Bacteria
Description: bacterial SSU rRNA
Rfam family: Bacterial small subunit ribosomal RNA
Source: RNAcentral